UACAGAGGGUGCGAGCGUUGUCCGGAAUCACUGGGCGUAAAGGGCGCGUAGGCGGUCUCUUAAGCGUGUGGUGAAAGCCCGGGGCUCAACUCCGGGUCGGCCGUGCGAACUGGGGGACUGGAGCUUGUCAGAGGCAGGCGGAAUUCCGGGUGUGGCGGUGGAAUGCGUAGAGAUCCGGAAGAACACCGGUGGCGAAGGCGGCCUGCUGGGACAGUGCUGACGCUGAGGCGCGACAGCGUGGGGAGCAAACAGG
Molecule: ribosomal RNA, 253 nt
Filed under: uncultured bacterium
Lineage: Bacteria
Description: partial 16S ribosomal RNA
Rfam family: Bacterial small subunit ribosomal RNA
Source: RNAcentral